RNAcentral lists this ribosomal RNA (497 nucleotides) under uncultured bacterium. Its description in RNAcentral is "partial 16S ribosomal RNA". It matches the Rfam family "Bacterial small subunit ribosomal RNA", at positions 28 to 507 of the family's 1533-position model. The record is from RNAcentral.
GAUGAACGCUGGCGGCGUGCCUAAUACAUGCAAGUCGAGCGCACGGACGUGAAGCUUGCUUCUCUGGUGUUAGCGGCGGACGGGUGAGUAACACGUGGAUAACCUACCUAUAAGAGUGGGAUAACUUCGGGAAACCGGUGCUAAUACCGCAUAAUAACUUGAACCGCAUGUUUCAAAAGUGAAAGACGGACUUGCUGCCACUUAUAAAUAGCUCGGCGUUGAUUUAGCUGGUUGUUAAGGUAACGGCUAACAAAGGCAACGAUCCAAAGCCGACCUGAGAGGGUGAUCGGCAACACGGGAACUGGGACACGGCCCAGACUCCUACGGGAGGCAGCAGAAGGGAAUCUUCGGCAAUGGGCGAAAGCCUGACGGAGCAACGCCGCGUGAGUGAUGAAGGUCUUCGGAUCGUAAAACCCUGUUAUUAGGGAAGACCAUAUGUGUAAGUAACUGUGCACAUCGUGACGGUACCUAAUCAGAAAGCCACGGCUAACUACGUG